GGAGAGAUGGUCGAGCUGGUUUAAGGCGCGUGCCUGGAAAGUGCGUAUGCCCCAUAAAGGCAUCGGGGGUUCGAAUCCCCCUCUCUCCG
Molecule: non-coding RNA, 89 nt
Organism: Peptoniphilus asaccharolyticus DSM 20463
Lineage: Bacteria; Bacillati; Bacillota; Tissierellia; Tissierellales; Peptoniphilaceae
Source: Rfam